RNAcentral lists this long non-coding RNA (344 nucleotides) under Homo sapiens (human). RNAcentral's name for it is "long non-coding RNA NONHSAT183176". Lineage: Eukaryota; Metazoa; Chordata; Mammalia; Primates; Hominidae. The record is from RNAcentral.
AUGUGUUCCAGGUUCCUGGUUUUAAGCUAAAUAUGCAUCAGUUAUCUCUGAUCAGGGGAAACAGAGGGCGGGUAAGUACUUCCACCUUCUCUGUGUGUUCUAAGUUCCUUAAAAAACUGACCUGGAAAUUAACUUAUAAUUUUAGCAUUUGAGAGGAAACUUGAUUUUAGAAGAAUAAUUAACUGGUUUACAUAACCCUUUAUUUAACUUGCUUACAUAAUGUGUGUAACACCUUGAAAGUAGUGGCAUGUGUUUCCAAUUCACUCUGAAAGAAUAUGAAAACAGCUAUCUUGUGAAGAAAAGUACAAAAAUUAUACCACAAAUUAUGAUCUUAAAGGAAGCCU